Molecule: ribosomal RNA, 501 nt
Filed under: uncultured bacterium
Lineage: Bacteria
Description: partial 16S ribosomal RNA
Rfam family: Bacterial small subunit ribosomal RNA
Source: RNAcentral
GGACGAACGCUGGCGGCGUGCCUAAUACAUGCAAGUCGUGCGGACCUUGUUGAAAGCUUGCUUUUAAAAGGUUAGCGGCGGACGGGUGAGUAACACGUGGGCAACCUGCCUGUAAGACUGGGAUAACGCCGGGAAACCGGGGCUAAUACCAGAUCGUUUUUUCCUCCGCAUGGAGGAAAAAGGAAAGGCGGCUUCGGCUGCCACUUACAGAUGGGCCCGCGGCGCAUUAGCUAGUUGGCGGGGUAAUGGCCCACCAAGGCAACGAUGCGUAGCCGACCUGAGAGGGUGAUCGGCCACAUUGGGACUGAGACACGGCCCAAACUCCUACGGGAGGCAGCAGUAGGGAAUCUUCCGCAAUGGACGAAAGUCUGACGGAGCAACGCCGCGUGAGUGAAGAAGGCCUUCGGGUCGUAAAACUCUGUUGCCGGGGAAGAACAAGUGCCGUUCGAACAGGGCGGCGCCUUGACGGUACCCGGCCAGAAAGCCACGGCUAACUACGUG